This 404-nucleotide unclassified non-coding RNA is filed under the name Hevea brasiliensis (rubber tree). The record is from RNAcentral. Lineage: Eukaryota; Viridiplantae; Streptophyta; Magnoliopsida; Malpighiales; Euphorbiaceae.
AUUAUACUGAAAUAGUUUUGCCAUGUAUUUUACAAUAGAAAGCAAGCAUCGGUUACGUAAACCUUCAUAUCUUACAGGAAAAGGAGAUUACAAACAUCAAAUUUAAUUAUACAGGCAAACCAAUGACAAAUUAGAACAAAACUACUGUAUAAUACAUGGCAAAACUAUUUCAGUAUAAUCUUGGCAAAAUUUUCAGCAGCAGUUUCAAAUAUUGUCAUACUUGAUAGUCUUCAAAAUGCUGAUAACUUUACAUAUUUUUACAUCUUGCUUGUCCCUUUUCAUUGCCAUUGAUUAUGGGAACUCCGCUCUGUUGGUGAUCCAGGAACAAAGGGUACAAAACCCCGACCACCAAACACAGGACGCAUAAAUGCAUCAUCAAACUUACGCCAGUAGUAAUGAACGGU